Molecule: ribosomal RNA, 253 nt
Filed under: uncultured bacterium
Lineage: Bacteria
Description: partial 16S ribosomal RNA
Rfam family: Bacterial small subunit ribosomal RNA
Source: RNAcentral
UACGGGGGGGGCAGGCGUUGUUCGGAAUUACUGGGCGUAAAGGGCUCGUAGGCGGCCAACUAAGUCAGACGUGAAAUCCCUCGGCUUAACCGGGGAACUGCGUCUGAUACUGGAUGGCUUGAAUCCGGGAGAGGGAUGCGGAAUUCCAGGUGUAGCGGUGAAAUGCGUAGAUAUCUGGAGGAACACCGGUGGCGAAGGCGGCAUCCUGGACCGGCAUUGACGCUGAGGCGCGAAAGCCAGGGGAGCAAACGGG